AGGGAAUAUUGCUUAAUGGGCGAAAGCCUGAAGCAGCAACGCCGCGUGUGUGAAGAAGGCCUUCGGGUUGUAAAACACUUUUUGAGGGGAUGAGGAAGGACAGUACCCUCAGAAUAAGCCUCGGCUAACUACGUGCCAGCAGCCGCGGUAAAACGUAGGAGGCGAGCGUUAUCCGGAUUUACUGGGCGUAAAGCGCGUGCAGGCGGCACGGCAAGUUGGAUGUGAAAGCUCCCGGCUUAACUGGGAGAGGUCGUUCAAAACUGCCGAGCUAGGGUGCGGGAGAGGGAGGUGGAAUUCCGGGUGUAGUGGUGAAAUGCGUAGAUAUCCGGAGGAGCACCAGUGGCGAAAGCGGCCUCCUGGUCCGCAACUGACGCUCAGACGCGAAAGCUAGGGUAGCAAACGG
This 403-nucleotide ribosomal RNA is filed under the name uncultured bacterium. RNAcentral's name for it is "bacterial SSU rRNA". It matches the Rfam family "Bacterial small subunit ribosomal RNA", at positions 356 to 775 of the family's 1533-position model. The record is from RNAcentral.